RNAcentral lists this ribosomal RNA (490 nucleotides) under uncultured bacterium. RNAcentral describes it as "partial 16S ribosomal RNA". It matches the Rfam family "Bacterial small subunit ribosomal RNA", at positions 28 to 507 of the family's 1533-position model. The record is from RNAcentral.
GAUGAACGCUAGCGAUAGGCUUAACACAUGCAAGUCGAGGGGCAGCAUGGUCUUAGCUUGCUAAGACUGAUGGCGACCGGCGCACGGGUGCGUAACGCGUAUGCAACUUGCCUCACAGAGGGGGAUAACCCGUCGAAAGACGGACUAAUACCGCGUACACUUGGGAUAGGGCAUCCUGACCCAAGGAAAUGAAAUUCGCUGUGAGAUAGGCAUGCGUCCCAUUAGCUAGUUGGUGAGGUAACGGCUCACCAAGGCGACGAUGGGUAGGGGAACUGAGAGGUGGAACCCCCACACUGGUACUGGGACACGGACCAGACUCCUACGGGAGGCAGCAGUGAGGAAUAGUGGUCAAUGGGCGAGAGCCUGAACCAGCCAAGUCGCGUGAAGGAUGACUGUCUUAUGGAUUGUAAACUUCUUUUAUACGGGAAUAACAAGAGCCACGUGUGGCUCCCUGCAUGUACCGUAUGAAUAAGCAUCGGCUAACUCCGUG